Non-coding RNA from Petromyzon marinus (sea lamprey), 590 nucleotides. Lineage: Eukaryota; Metazoa; Chordata; Hyperoartia; Petromyzontiformes; Petromyzontidae. The record is from RefSeq and is a predicted model, not a curated record.
CUUCUUGGUGCCAUUGCUUGCAUCAGGGCCUGAGACUGAGAAAGCAGCGGAGGAGGCGACACGGCGAGCGGGGCCGCGUCUGCACGUGUCAGGGAUGAGAGACGCGGGCGACUCAACACUUCACGGCGUGGUCUGGAGGGCUGCUCACUGAAGGACAAAUCGAUGCCAGCUCUCCAUGACAUCAUAAUCACCAACAAGGCAUUGAGGGAGCUCAGGGUGAACGACAAUGACUUCAGUGAGGAGGGGAAGAAGGAGCUGAGGAGCAAAUGGACUCCCAGAAGAAGCCUGCAGUUGUAUAUUUAAGCCGAUAGGCGACGCUGGCCCUGCAACAGAUGGAGCUGCCCCACGCGCGACUCGCACAGCAGCCUGGCGCAUUUCACCUCAAGAGCUCCGAUCACCGGCACCGACUCUGAGCUUGACUGAGAUGACAAUGAGCGGGGAGCUUUCUCUCUCUGUGAACCCCACACGAAGCCCAAGGGUGGACGCGGCUCCGAGAUUCUGAUGAGCGUGGUGAUUCCGAUGAUGUGUAACUGUAUUUAUGAAUGUUGUGUAGGGAAUCGAUGUUGGGGCUCGUGGGGGAGGGGUGGCAG